GUCUACCACCAUGCCACCCUGAACAAGCCCAAUGUCUGAUCUUGGAAGCUAAGCAGAGUUGAACCUUGUUAGUAUUUGGAUGGGAGACCUCUUAGGAAGACCAGGUGCUGUAGACA
Molecule: ribosomal RNA, 116 nt
Filed under: Pteropus alecto (black flying fox)
Lineage: Eukaryota; Metazoa; Chordata; Mammalia; Chiroptera; Pteropodidae
Source: RNAcentral